RNAcentral lists this transfer RNA (72 nucleotides) under Auricularia heimuer. RNAcentral's name for it is "tRNA-Glu". It matches the Rfam family "tRNA". From Rfam's summary of the family: Transfer RNA (tRNA) molecules are approximately 80 nucleotides in length. Lineage: Eukaryota; Fungi; Basidiomycota; Agaricomycetes; Auriculariales; Auriculariaceae. The record is from RNAcentral.
GGCUCUUUAGUAAAAUAGGUAUUACUUGAGCGUUUCAUACUCAAAUUACCAGUUCAAGUCUGGUAAGAGCUA